ACGGAAGGCAGCAGUGGGGAAUAUUGCACAAUGGGCGAAAGCCUGAUGCAGCGACGCCGCGUGAGUGAAGAAGUAUCUCGGUAUGUAAAGCUCUAUCAGCAGGGAAGAAAAUGACGGUACCUGACUAAGAAGCCCCGGCUAACUACGUGCCAGCAGCCGCGGUAAUACGUAGGGGGCAAGCGUUAUCCGGAUUUACUGGGUGUAAAGGGAGCGUAGACGGUUUGGCAAGUCUGAAGUGAAAUGCGGGGGCUCAACUCCUGAGCUGCUUUGGAAACUGUCGAACUAGAGUGCAGGAGAGGUAAGUGGAAUUCCUAGUGUAGCGGUGAAAUGCGUAGAUAUUAGGAGGAACACCAGUGGCGAAGGCGGCUUACUGGACUGUAACUGACGUUGAGGCUCGAAAGCGUGGGGAGCAAACAGGAUUAGAUACCCUGGUA
Molecule: ribosomal RNA, 434 nt
Filed under: uncultured Clostridium sp.
Lineage: Bacteria; Bacillati; Bacillota; Clostridia; Eubacteriales; Clostridiaceae
Also listed under: 1 other name
Description: partial 16S ribosomal RNA
Rfam family: Bacterial small subunit ribosomal RNA
Source: RNAcentral